GAUGAAGAACGUAGCGAAAUGCGAUACGUAAUGUGAAUUGCAAAUUCAGUGAAUCAUCGAGUCUUUGAACGCACAUUGCGCCCCCUGGUAUUCCGGGGGGCAUGCCUGUCCGAGCGUCAUUGCUGCCCUCAAGCACGGCUUGUGUGUUGGGCCCCGUCCUCCGAUCCCGGGGGACGGGCCCGAAAGGCAGCGGCGGCACCGCGUCCGGUCCUCGAGCGUAUGGGGCUUUGUCACCCGCUCUGUAGGCCCGGCCGGCGCUUGCCGAUCAACCCAAAUUUUUAUCCAGGUUGACCUCGGAUCAGGUAGGGAUACCCGCUGAACUUAAGCAUAUCUAAGCGGAGGA
RNAcentral lists this unclassified non-coding RNA (343 nucleotides) under soil metagenome. RNAcentral's name for it is "partial contains 5.8S ribosomal RNA, internal transcribed spacer 2, and large subunit ribosomal RNA". The stretch from base 1 to 119 matches the Rfam family "5.8S ribosomal RNA", at positions 35 to 154 of the family's 154-position model. The record is from RNAcentral.